GCGGUGGUCCCACCUGACCCCAUGCCGAACUCAGAAGUGAAACGCCGUAGCGCCGAUGGUAGUGUGGGGUCUCCCCAUGCGAGAGUAGGACACUGCCAGGCA
This 102-nucleotide ribosomal RNA is filed under the name Serratia liquefaciens. The record is from RNAcentral. RNAcentral also lists the same sequence under 3 other names. Lineage: Bacteria; Pseudomonadati; Pseudomonadota; Gammaproteobacteria; Enterobacterales; Yersiniaceae.